This 447-nucleotide ribosomal RNA is filed under the name uncultured bacterium. RNAcentral describes it as "bacterial SSU rRNA". It matches the Rfam family "Bacterial small subunit ribosomal RNA", at positions 355 to 825 of the family's 1533-position model. The record is from RNAcentral.
UCGGGAAUUUUGGGCAAUGGGCGAAAGCCUGACCCAGCAACGCCGCGUGAAGGAUGAAGUAUUUCGGUAUGUAAACUUCGAAAGAAUAGGAAGAAUAAAUGACGGUACUAUUUAUAAGGUCCGGCUAACUACGUGCCAGCAGCCGCGGUAAUACGUAGGGACCAAGCGUUGUUCGGAUUUACUGGGCGUAAAGGGCGCGUAGGCGGCAUGACAAGUCACUUGUGAAAUCUCCGGGCUUAACUCGGAACGGCCAAGUGAUACUGUCACGCUAGAGUAUUGGAGGGGCAAUUGGAAUUCUUGGUGUAGCGGUGAAAUGCGUAGAUAUCAAGAGGAACACCUGAGGUGAAGACGGGUUGCUGGGCUGACACUGACGCUGAGGCGCGAAAGCCAGGGGAGCAAACGGGAUUAGAUACCCAAGUAGUCCCUGAGCGGGCUGGCAAGGCGCAU